GAUGAACGCUGGCGGCGUGCCUAAUACAUGCAAGUCGAGCGAACAGACGAGGAGCUUGCUCCUCUGACGUUAGCGGCGGACGGGUGAGUAACACGUGGAUAACCUACCUAUAAGACUGGGAUAACUUCGGGAAACCGGAGCUAAUACCGGAUAAUAUAUUGAACCGCAUGGUUCAAUAGUGAAAGACGGUUUUGCUGUCACUUAUAGAUGGAUCCGCGCCGCAUUAGCUAGUUGGUAAGGUAACGGCUUACCAAGGCGACGAUGCGUAGCCGACCUGAGAGGGUGAUCGGCCACACUGGAACUGAGACACGGUCCAGACUCCUACGGGAGGCAGCAGUAGGGAAUCUUCCGCAAUGGGCGAAAGGUUGACGGAGCAACGCCGCGUGAGUGAUGAAGGUCUUCGGAUCGUAAAACUCUGUUAUUAGGGAAGAACAAAUGUGUAAGUAACUAUGCACGUCUUGACGGUACCUAAUCAGAAAGCCACGGCUAACUACGUG
Molecule: ribosomal RNA, 497 nt
Filed under: uncultured bacterium
Lineage: Bacteria
Description: partial 16S ribosomal RNA
Rfam family: Bacterial small subunit ribosomal RNA
Source: RNAcentral